Long non-coding RNA from Capsicum annuum, 2911 nucleotides. RefSeq lists it as uncharacterized. The transcript is spliced from 6 exons. The record is from RefSeq and is a predicted model, not a curated record. Lineage: Eukaryota; Viridiplantae; Streptophyta; Magnoliopsida; Solanales; Solanaceae.
AGUGAAACCUGUUGUUUAUCAUUGGCCUAGCUUGGAGAAACUUGCUACCUGUAGCAUCGAUGCUUUGGAUUCUAAAGGCCGAGGGUCUAUCGGAAACAACCUCUCUACCUUAUAGAGGUAAGGUCUGUAUAUCCUCCCAGACACCACUUGUUGGAUUACACUAGGUUCAAGACGUGGAAAGAGUCGAGCUUUAUGUGACUUAAAAAAUGUUGUGGCUCUAGCAGCAGGGUCUGUGGACGGCCUGGAAAUGGGAAAUAACACUAAGGUAGCAGCUAGAAAUAUAUAAAAUCUCUCUGCUUUUUUGUCUUUUUUAAGAAAAUGGAGCAAUUUGUUCCCCUGAUUAAAGUGUCUUGUUUUUUCCUAAAUGAUCGAACAGGCUGCAAUAAUGUGAAUUGGCUUGAGAGAGAUGAAGGGAUUAUCCAAGCUAUUGUUUCCUUUUGUUAAAGAUAAUACAUUCUUUGAUAGUUGUAGAGUAGCAGAUCUUAUAACUACUUGUUGUAAGUUGGAAAUUUCCAUUCUACUGUAAUAGGUGUACUUAUGUUAGGUAGAGAAUGAAAAUAUUGAUCAUCUCUUUUUUGCAACUUCAUAUAACAAAAAAUGUUUGGGAUAUGUUUCUUUGCCUACUUGGAAUACAAUGGGUGUUGCCUAGUAGUCUUAGAGAGGCUUACCUGGGUGUAAUGGAGCGUUGGGAAAUCCAUCAGAAAAACUUGGUAGAUGGUUCUACUUUGUGUCGCGUGGAGUAUCUGAAAGUAGAGAAACUAGAGGGGUUUUAAAGGAAUUUACAUGCACAAGCUCAAAAGUUUUAUUACUCAUAGUCAUACUAGUAGGAAAAUAUAAUCUAGUUUGUCUAGCACAACAAGAAAUACUACAUUUGUUUAAAGUUUCUACUAUCUCAAAUUUAUUUCUAGGAAAUAACAGAUGUAGACAUUUAUAUGGAACUUGUCCUAAUCUCAUAUGCCACAAGGAGAUACACCUUCUCUACCUCUAUAAGCCUUGGCAGUAAACCCAAAACCUGUUUCUGUAUUCUUUAUUAUAGGUAAUAUCUAAUUUAUUAGAAAAUUUAAGGCUUCUCUUUCUUUAAAAAUUUUCAUCAGCUUCCUAUUGAAGAAAUCUUGAAAUAAAUAAAAGUUAGGAAAGAAGGUAGCAAAACAUUUCAAUUGUCUAAUGACAGUAAAUUGUACUUGAAUUAUGGUAUAUGUAACACAUGUUGAAUGGUACUAUGGUGUGAAAUGUUACUAAUACAAGUGUGUUCAACUUGUGAUAUAUCACCAUUUGGAAGAUAAACACUUCCUCGCAUUCUAGGCUGUGUUAUUGAAGAUUUGUUCAAUAACUCAAUAUCUGAUGUCAUAUGAUUAUUAGCACUUGUAUCAAUGCUAUACCUAGGUGGAUCAUUGGCUACUAGCAGUGCUCUAUUGGUACCAAUGUUACCCUUAGUUAUGCGGACUUUUCACUUUAGUUAUCGCACCCGUGUUGGAUUCUUCAAAAAUACGCUAUUUUUGGCGAAUGUAACACGCACCCAUUGACAUUUUUAAUGAGUCCGAGCAACAUAGAUGUUGCCUGACAUAUUAGAUCAGGCCAUUGGCUUAGUGUCAUGUUGUUCCAGCAUUUUUGCAGAUAUGUGCACAUUAUUCCUGAGUGAACAUGGGAGGCAUAAUUACACUGUUUGUGCUGGAAGAGGGCAUGGCAUGUAUAUAAUAUGAUUCAAGACCCUAAAUAACCUAAGUGUUGGAUGAGAACCACCAUAGAUCAUUCAUUUGCAUCUAAGACUGAUAAUGACCAUUAGGGGAAACAACUACUACUAUAAAAUUUUGCUCAACAGUUCCCAUUCUGUGUCAAUUGAUUUGUAAGAACUAAGUCUUGAUCUCCUUUGUUAUCUACACCUUUGUGAUCCUUAUUCUUAUGAUGUCCAGGUAGAUACCCAUCCAGUCUAUAACAAUCCAUUUUAGAGUGCUUCUUGAGUUUAUAGUGAUCAUAAGUUGAAUUAGGAUUAUAGGAUGCGACAUAGCCUCUUUUUUCCAGAUACAAGCAUAAUAGAAUACAGAAUUAAGGAAGAAGAGAAAAAAAGAUCAGAUGAUAGUAGAGAAGAUUAGUAAAUUUUAUUAUAUGUUCUUGGGUUGAUUAUAGUAGUUUAUCUCUCUCUCUCUCUCUCUCUAUAUAUAUAUAUAUAUGCUAAGAUAGUAACCGACUCCUAACUUUCACUAUAGCUACUUAACUGUUGUAACUAACUUAUUACUAUACCUUAUAGUAGUUAUCUAAUUUCAUUAAUUAACACACAAUAUGCAUCUAAGGUUACAAAAAAAGUUUCUUCGUUCUACUUUGUAUUGUUAUUCAUAUAAUAUGAAAUUUACUUUUGCAGGGUCACUUAUUCAGAAUCAGCUCAUAACUCAUCUUAUGCUUGAAAUUGUUGUGCUAGCUGUCUUGGAUGCAUUGCAUGUUUGUUUUUGGUAUUGGGGCACUGGUAUAGUUUAUUGAACGUCUGAUUGAAUGGCCCUACUACUGCAUUCAUAUUGUGAAAGUAUUGUCUGCGUUCAAAUCAUCCAGAGCUUGUUGAGUUCGUUGAACAGGUUGUUGCCAGGACUUCACAGGCACAUGCAGGCCAUUUACCUUCAGACGCAAGCUUGUAUUUCCGUCAAAUGUUCUCUGGUCAGCUGACUAGUGAAGCAAUGGUUGGAAUGCUUGCUCACUUUAAAGGAUCAACUCAUAACAGGUGUCCACAAUGAAGAAGGAGAUGAAGAAAGAAAUGAUGAAGAAAUUGACCUUACUUGAAAGAUUUUUGAAUUGUUGAUAGAUGCUUUAAUAUCAAUCUUUUUGAUAUUGAAUUUAGUGAAACUUAUUACCACUCAAACGUAAUACUAUAUGAGAAACUAAUGAUCAUUUGACGUUAUAUAUUUUGCUUUUGUAUUUAGAUUAC